AGCUCCGAUAGCGUAUAUUAAAGUUGUUGCAGUUAAAAAGCUCGUAGUUGAACUUCUAAAGGUUGAAGUCGCCUUAUGGCUUGACUGAUAUCUUUAUCCGCUUUGAUUUAGCAAUACGCACUUUGUUGGGCGAUUGUGUAAUCAAGCAAUUUACUUUGAAAAAAUUAGAGUGUUUCAGGCAGGCGAUUUGCUGGAAUACAUUAGCAUGGAAUAAUAGAAUAAGACCUCUUAGGCAUUUUAUUGGUAUAUGACUGGAGGUAAUGAUUAACAGGGACAGUUGGGGGCAUUAGUAUUGCAUUGUCAGAGGUGAAAUUUCAUUGAUUAGUGCAAGACUAACUUAUGCGAAAGCAUUUGCCAAGGAUGUUUUCA
This 369-nucleotide ribosomal RNA is filed under the name Colpodea sp. BioMarKs_Marine_Colpodea_OTU_19. Its description in RNAcentral is "bacterial SSU rRNA". It matches the Rfam family "Eukaryotic small subunit ribosomal RNA", at positions 587 to 972 of the family's 1831-position model. The record is from RNAcentral. Lineage: Eukaryota; Ciliophora; Colpodea.